GGUUAAGCGACUAAGCGUACACGGUGGAUGCCCUGGCAGUCAGAGGCGAUGAAGGACGUGCUAAUCUGCGAUAAGCGUCGGUAAGGUGAUAUGAACCGUUAUAACCGGCGAUUUCCGAAUGGGGAAACCCAGUGUGUUUCGACACACUAUCAUUAACUGAAUCCAUAGGUUAAUGAGGCGAACCGGGGGAACUGAAACAUCUAAGUACCCCGAGGAAAAGAAAUCAACCGAGAUUCCCCCAGUAGCGGCGAGCGAACGGGGAGGAGCCCAGAGCCUGAAUCAGUGUGUGUGUUAGUGGAAGCGUCUGGAAAGGCGCGCGAUACAGGGUGACAGCCCCGUACACAAAAAUGCACAUGCUGUGAGCUCGAUGAGUAGGGCGGGACACGUGGUAUCCUGUCUGAAUAUGGGGGGACCAUCCUCCAAGGCUAAAUACUCCUGACUGACCGAUAGUGAACCAGUACCGUGAGGGAAAGGCGAAAAGAACCCCGGCGAGGGGAGUGAAAAAGAACCUGAAACCGUGUACGUACAAGCAGUGGGAGCACGCUUAGGCGUGUGACUGCGUACCUUUUGUAUAAUGGGUCAGCGACUUAUAUUCUGUAGCAAGGUUAACCGAAUAGGGGAGCCGAAGGGAA
Molecule: ribosomal RNA, 632 nt
Filed under: Escherichia coli
Lineage: Bacteria; Pseudomonadati; Pseudomonadota; Gammaproteobacteria; Enterobacterales; Enterobacteriaceae
Description: partial 23S ribosomal RNA
Rfam family: Bacterial large subunit ribosomal RNA
Source: RNAcentral